AAUUUUAAAUUAUUUUUUAAUAUUUUUAUAUUAAAAAAAUAAUUUUCUCAAUAACAAUAUCAAAUAAACCCUAAAAAUAGUAGUCAUUCUAAACAUGGACCGGACGUUCCCAAUUAAAUGCUUACAAACUAAGCAGUUUCUUUAAAUUUUUUUUAUGAUAUAUAAUUGAAUAAAAUUUCAAUUUUGAAGGUGUGGCUGUUGGAUGUGGAUGG
Molecule: unclassified non-coding RNA, 212 nt
Filed under: Hevea brasiliensis (rubber tree)
Lineage: Eukaryota; Viridiplantae; Streptophyta; Magnoliopsida; Malpighiales; Euphorbiaceae
Source: RNAcentral